RNAcentral lists this transfer RNA (75 nucleotides) under Klebsiella pneumoniae. RNAcentral's name for it is "tRNA-Lys(ttt)". It matches the Rfam family "tRNA". From Rfam's summary of the family: Transfer RNA (tRNA) molecules are approximately 80 nucleotides in length. Their secondary structure includes four short double-helical elements and three loops (D, anti-codon, and T loops). Further hydrogen bonds mediate the characteristic L-shaped molecular structure. tRNAs have two regions of fundamental functional importance: the anti-codon, which is responsible for specific mRNA codon recognition, and the 3' end, to which the tRNAs corresponding amino acid is attached (by aminoacyl-tRNA synthetases). tRNAs cope with the degeneracy of the genetic code in two manners: having more than one tRNA (with a specific anti-codon) for a particular amino acid; and 'wobble' base-pairing, i.e. permitting non-standard base-pairing at the 3rd anti-codon position. Lineage: Bacteria; Pseudomonadati; Pseudomonadota; Gammaproteobacteria; Enterobacterales; Enterobacteriaceae. The record is from RNAcentral.
CGGGUCGUUAGCUCAGUUGGUAGAGCAGUUGACUUUUAAUCAAUUGGUCGCAGGUUCGAAUCCUGCAGACCCACC